AAAGAAUUUACUUUGAUUCCAAGGUUCAAGCUUAUAGGUGUCAUAUUAGAUAUCCUAUAUUAAAAUUGGCUAAUUUGGACUCAGGAAAUGCUUAAUGCUUAAAAUGACACUUAAGACCAUAUGUCUAGUUCUUGGAGCACAUAGCCCCCACGUGAGCUGUUUCUCCUAAAUCAGUCUGUUCUUUCUCUUUCUCUUUCUCUGAACUUAUCUGUUAUAUGUACAUGAUGUUCAUCCAUAUGUCUUAUCUGUACUCCUUUCACUCCAUUCCUGCUUCUGUCCUAUGAGUAUUUGCACGUAAGCACUUACUUUUUAAUGUAUAAAAACACAUACUGAAAAAUAAAUGACAGAGGCUUAUUUUGAUUACCAACAGGUCUCUGAUGUCUAAUUCACGCUUCUCCAAGUGCACUUGAAAUAACAAUUUGGGCUCCCCUGAAUAUCACAAAGAUCACAUUGGAUCUAUAUAAAUUGGUGCUGAAACCCGGGAUCAGACAAAUCCAGUCCAUCCGGACCCAGAUGGAGUGGCUCGCAGCUCGAGAGAUGGUUAAUCAGCUGCAG
This is a non-coding RNA of Pelobates cultripes (western spadefoot toad), 555 nucleotides long. The record is from the annotation of a GenBank genome assembly. Lineage: Eukaryota; Metazoa; Chordata; Amphibia; Anura; Pelobatidae.